RNAcentral lists this transfer RNA (88 nucleotides) under Rickettsiales bacterium. RNAcentral describes it as "tRNA-Leu". It matches the Rfam family "tRNA". Rfam says of the family: Transfer RNA (tRNA) molecules are approximately 80 nucleotides in length. Their secondary structure includes four short double-helical elements and three loops (D, anti-codon, and T loops). The record is from RNAcentral. Lineage: Bacteria; Pseudomonadati; Pseudomonadota; Alphaproteobacteria; Rickettsiales.
GUGGUCGUGGUGGAAUGGUAGACACGCAGCGUUGAGGUCGCUGUUCCUAUUUAUAGGAGUGGAAGUUCAAGUCUUCUCGACCAUACCA